UACGGAGGAUGCAAGCGUUAUCCGGAUUCAUUGGGUUUAAAGGGUGCGUAGGCGGGCUAUUAAGUCAGUGGUGAAAUCCUGCAGCUUAACUGCAGAACUGCCGUUGAUACUGAUAGUCUUGAGUUUGGUUGAGGUAGGCGGAAUGUGUAAUGUAGCGGUGAAAUGCUUAGAUAUUACACAGAACACCAAUUGCGUAGGCAGCUUACUGAGCCGACACUGACGCUGAGGCACGAAAGCGUGGGGAUCAAACAGGA
RNAcentral lists this ribosomal RNA (254 nucleotides) under uncultured prokaryote. RNAcentral's name for it is "partial 16S ribosomal RNA". It matches the Rfam family "Bacterial small subunit ribosomal RNA", at positions 524 to 777 of the family's 1533-position model. The record is from RNAcentral.